This is a non-coding RNA of Podospora anserina, 118 nucleotides long. The record is from Rfam. Lineage: Eukaryota; Fungi; Ascomycota; Sordariomycetes; Sordariales; Podosporaceae.
GGCUCGAUGGCCGAGCGGUCUAAGGCGCUAGACUCAAGAUAUCUCAAUAUCUUCCUAUCAGCAUGGCAGGUGCAUUCUAGUCUCGAAAGAGGCGCGCGUUCGAAUCGCGCUCGAGUCA